UCGGAUAUGGUGUAACGGCUAACAUUGCCGCCUCUCAUGGGUAUGAUGUUAUCUAUGUCUCAGCGCGGCAGCUCGGGGUUCGAUUCCCCGUAUCCGAA
This is a non-coding RNA of Mucidula mucida, 98 nucleotides long. Lineage: Eukaryota; Fungi; Basidiomycota; Agaricomycetes; Agaricales; Physalacriaceae. The record is from the annotation of a GenBank genome assembly.